GCGGAUGUGGCGGAAUUGGUAGUCGCGCACGGUUCAGGUCCGUGUGGGAGCAAUCCCGUGGAGGUUCGAGUCCUCUCAUCCGCA
This 84-nucleotide transfer RNA is filed under the name Solirubrobacteraceae bacterium. Its description in RNAcentral is "tRNA-Leu". It matches the Rfam family "tRNA". Rfam says of the family: Transfer RNA (tRNA) molecules are approximately 80 nucleotides in length. Their secondary structure includes four short double-helical elements and three loops (D, anti-codon, and T loops). Further hydrogen bonds mediate the characteristic L-shaped molecular structure. tRNAs have two regions of fundamental functional importance: the anti-codon, which is responsible for specific mRNA codon recognition, and the 3' end, to which the tRNAs corresponding amino acid is attached (by aminoacyl-tRNA synthetases). tRNAs cope with the degeneracy of the genetic code in two manners: having more than one tRNA (with a specific anti-codon) for a particular amino acid; and 'wobble' base-pairing, i.e. permitting non-standard base-pairing at the 3rd anti-codon position. Lineage: Bacteria; Bacillati; Actinomycetota; Thermoleophilia; Solirubrobacterales; Solirubrobacteraceae. The record is from RNAcentral.